Molecule: ribosomal RNA, 502 nt
Filed under: Lactococcus lactis
Lineage: Bacteria; Bacillati; Bacillota; Bacilli; Lactobacillales; Streptococcaceae
Description: bacterial SSU rRNA
Rfam family: Bacterial small subunit ribosomal RNA
Source: RNAcentral
UCAGGACGAACGCUGGCGGCGUGCCUAAUACAUGCAAGUUGAGCGCUGAAGGUUGGUACUUGUACCGACUGGAUGAGCAGCGAACGGGUGAGUAACGCGUGGGGAAUCUGCCUUUGAGCGGGGGACAACAUUUGGAAACGAAUGCUAAUACCGCAUAACAACUUUAAACACAAGUUUUAAGUUUGAAAGAUGCAAUUGCAUCACUCAAAGAUGAUCCCGCGUUGUAUUAGCUAGUUGGUGAGGUAAAGGCUCACCAAGGCGAUGAUACAUAGCCGACCUGAGAGGGUGAUCGGCCACAUUGGGACUGAGACACGGCCCAAACUCCUACGGGAGGCAGCAGUAGGGAAUCUUCGGCAAUGGACGAAAGUCUGACCGAGCAACGCCGCGUGAGUGAAGAAGGUUUUCGGAUCGUAAAACUCUGUUGGUAGAGAAGAACGUUGGUGAGAGUGGAAAGCUCAUCAAGUGACGGUAACUACCCAGAAAGGGACGGCUAACUACGUGC